Molecule: ribosomal RNA, 416 nt
Filed under: Bacillota bacterium
Lineage: Bacteria; Bacillati; Bacillota
Description: Firmicutes bacterium partial 16S ribosomal RNA
Rfam family: Bacterial small subunit ribosomal RNA
Source: RNAcentral
UGGGGAAUCUUGCACAAUGGGCGAAAGCCUGAUGCAGCGACGCCGCGUGGGGGAUGAAGCAUCUCGGUGUGUAAACCCCUUUCGAUUCGGACGAAUUCCCGUAAGGGAGUGACGGUACGGAUAUAAGAAGCCUCGGCUAACUACGUGCCAGCAGCCGCGGUAAGACGUAGGGGGCCAGCGUUGUUCGGAGUUACUGGGUGUAAAGGGUUCGUAGGCGGUGCGGCAAGUUGGGAGUGAAAUCUCUGGGCUUAACACAGAGGCUGCUUCCGAAACUGCUGUGCUCGAGUGUGGGAGAGGAGCGUGGAAUUGCAGGUGUAGCGGUGAAAUGCGUAGAUAUCUGCAGGAACACCGGUGGCGAAAGCGGCGAGCUGGACCAAUACUGACGCUGAGGAACGAAAGCUAGGGGAGCAAACAGG